GAGGAUAUAGCUCAAGUGGUAGAGCAUAUGCUUAGCAUGCACGAGGCCCUGGGUUCAAUCCCCAGUACUUCCU
This 73-nucleotide transfer RNA is filed under the name Camelus bactrianus (Bactrian camel). It matches the Rfam family "tRNA". From Rfam's summary of the family: Transfer RNA (tRNA) molecules are approximately 80 nucleotides in length. Their secondary structure includes four short double-helical elements and three loops (D, anti-codon, and T loops). RNAcentral also lists the same sequence under 2 other names. Lineage: Eukaryota; Metazoa; Chordata; Mammalia; Artiodactyla; Camelidae. The record is from Rfam by way of RNAcentral.